UGUGUGUAUUUAUGUGUUUGUGCAUGUCCAAAACAAUAAUAAUUUAGAUCUACUGUUCCAUGGUAACCGUGGCCGGUCACAUGAUAUACUGGAUCAUGUGACCGGCCGCGUCAGCUUCACACAACGUGCCCUCAAGCUAACCUUACUGCCGUGACGUGCCCUGCUGCUGCAGAUAACCACUGCGACUCCCGAUUCCAGAAAAAGUAAACAACUGGUCAGAGAUGCCUCGUAAGGAGAGGAGGUUAAAACAAAAACAAAAGGAGCUGUGUGAGGCUGCAAAAGGCAGUGGAUCACUCACCAGCUGGAUGACAAAGAGCACAAAAGUGUCUGCACUAUCAGAUUAAUACAGCCCAACUCCAGCAACACAGAAGCACCAACCCCCUCAACAGAAGCUGUUCCAUGAGCACCCGCCCCUCCAACGGUCUCUGCACGUCCCUGCAUCCUUGCUUCAUCCAGCAGAGUGACACCCAUCGAGUCUCUUACUUUUGGGCCCUUCAGCUGCUCCAGCAGCCGUUCAAUUUGUUUGAAGAGUUGUUUCCUCUCCCUGAGUCCUCCUACGGCAUGAAAGGUGAACAGGUCUGACUGGUUAGUGACUGGUGAUCGGGGAGUGACAGGCAAACAGAUUGGGUGGUGAAGUGAGCUAAAUAAAAGCUGGCUGAUGACUGAGAAUAAAGUAAAGUGCAAACCAGUACCAAAAUACAACCAACCUGUGACAGAAACUAAGACUAUGACAGAACUCAAAUUAAGAUAGGCCCUAAACUUGGACAGAACACAAACUAAGACAACGGCAGAAAUAGCUUAACUGAGAUUUGGCCUUCCACCAUGGAGCUGGUUAUCCCAGGUCUCUGUUCUUGCUGGAGCUGCUUUGCCUUUGCUCUCCUGAGUAGGUCAAGGUCCCCUGCAUCCCACUCAAAGAUACAGGAGGACAGAGCCCUCAUGAACGCAGGAUACAGUGGAUGAGCAUCCGUCGUGCAUCCUACAGCCAGCCGCCGCAUGAAAUGCCAGAUGUCAAGCCGGAUAUGGAGAUCUGGCCACUGUCCAAACCUGGCUUGUAGCUUGCUCAGUCCCUCGGUCUUACAGCAGCCACAGUCCACAUAAAGCACCUUGGGAGGUGCAACCCCAGCCUGGCGGUACCGCUCCAUCAGGCCAGCAGCCAUCCUGUCCAGUCCUGGACCUUCCUGCACAGUCAGGACACUAUUUAAUAUUUGGCCCAUCUCGUUGCUAACUGAAGACACCCACAGAGCCGUUCCUUUGCUGUGUCCUGCCAGCUUCUUUGUGAUCUAAAAUAAAAAUGGGAUUGUAAAUCAAACAGUUUAUCUUGUUUAUAGAAGCCACUGAGUGCCC
Fundulus heteroclitus (mummichog) is the source of this 1344-nucleotide long non-coding RNA. RefSeq lists it as uncharacterized. NCBI's taxonomy places the organism in Eukaryota, Metazoa, Chordata, Actinopteri, Cyprinodontiformes, Fundulidae. The transcript has 4 exons. The record is from RefSeq and is a predicted model, not a curated record.